GCAUCGGUGGGGUAUUGGAAGCCCACAACUUUCCUUUCAGAUUAAACAUUGGGUUUCAAGGGUUGAGAACGAGGUUCGACUCCUCGUCGGUGCA
Mycena polygramma is the source of this 94-nucleotide non-coding RNA. Lineage: Eukaryota; Fungi; Basidiomycota; Agaricomycetes; Agaricales; Mycenaceae. The record is from the annotation of a GenBank genome assembly.